Molecule: ribosomal RNA, 322 nt
Filed under: uncultured eukaryote
Lineage: Eukaryota
Description: partial 18S ribosomal RNA
Rfam family: Eukaryotic small subunit ribosomal RNA
Source: RNAcentral
CCCUUAGAUGUUCUGGGCGGCCCGCGCACUACAAUGGCGUGUGCAGCGAGUGCCGAAGUAGAGUUUUCCGAGGUAUUCUUGCAAUGCUCGUUUUGAUGGGGAUAGACCCUUGCAACUGUUGGUUUUGAACGAGGAAUUCCUUGUAAGCAUGGUUUAUCAUCCGACGCUGAAUGCGUCCCUGCCCUUUGUACACACCGCCCGUCGCACCUACCGAUUGAAUGGUUCGGUGAAGAUCUCGGACUUCGAUAUUUAUUCUUUAUUGAGUUUAUAUUGUGGGAAGUUAUCUAAACCUCAUCAUUUAGAGGAAGGUGAAGUCGUAACA